GAUGAACGCUGGCGGCGUGCCUAAUACAUGCAAGUCGAGCGAACGGACGAGAAGCUUGCUUCUCUGAUGUUAGCGGCGGACGGGUGAGUAACACGUGGAUAACCUACCUAUAAGACUGGGAUAACUUCGGGAAACCGGAGCUAAUACUGGAUAAUAUUUUGAACCGCAUGGUUCAAAAGUGAAAGACGGUCUUGCUGUCACUUAUAGAUGGAUCCGCGCUGCAUUAGCUAGUUGGUAAGGUAACGGCUUACCAAGGCAACGAUGCAUAGCCGGCCUGAGAGGGUGAUCGGCCACACUGGAACUGAGACACGGUCCAGACUCCUACGGGAGGCAGCAGUAGGGAAUCUUCCGCAAUGGGCGAAAGCCUGACGGAGCAACGCCGCGUGAGUGAUGAAGGUCUUCGGAUCGUAAAACUCUGUUAUUAGGGAAGAACAUAUGUGUAAGUAACUGUGCACAUCUUGACGGUACCUAAUCAGAAAGCCACGGCUAACUACGUG
This 497-nucleotide ribosomal RNA is filed under the name uncultured bacterium. Its description in RNAcentral is "partial 16S ribosomal RNA". It matches the Rfam family "Bacterial small subunit ribosomal RNA", at positions 28 to 507 of the family's 1533-position model. The record is from RNAcentral.